GAGAUGCUCCUUAAAGCCCCAAAAGCAAAAGCCCAUCAUCGGUUAAUAAUCUCAUCCCAAAACAAAAUCAGGACAGGUAAAACUUAACCCUAAUUCCAAUUAUUCUUCUUUAGCCAAAUAUCACAAUGUUCCAAGUAGUUUAGCAAACUGAGAUCAUCUCUUAACCUUGUUACCCAUACAAGAAGCCCUGUAUUCAUGAGCAUCAAAACUCCGUGGGCGCUUGGAAAAAUCCUAAUGCCCUUCAAAAACAACAAAUUGCUAAUCCCAUAUCAAAUAAGAAAUAAGACA
Molecule: unclassified non-coding RNA, 288 nt
Filed under: Hevea brasiliensis (rubber tree)
Lineage: Eukaryota; Viridiplantae; Streptophyta; Magnoliopsida; Malpighiales; Euphorbiaceae
Source: RNAcentral